CACAUGCAAGUCGGACGGUAACAGGGAUUGCUUGCAAUCCGCUGACGAGUGGCGCACGGGUGCGCAACGCGUAUAGAACCUACCCUUUACAGGGGGAUAGCCCAGAGAAAUUUGGAUUAAUACCCCGUAGUACCUAUUAGAGGCAUUUCUAAUAGGUUAUAGUUUUCGAACGGUAAAGGAUGGCUAUGCGUCUUAUUAGCUAGUAGGUAAGGUAACGGCUUACCUAGGCUACGAUAAGUAGGGGCCCUGAGAGGGGGAUCCCCCACACUGGUACUGAGACACGGACCAGACUCCUACGGGAGGCAGCAGUGAGGAAUAUUGGACAAUGGGCGGAAGCCUGAUCCAGCCAUGCCGCGUGCAGGAAGACGGCCCUAUGGGUUGUAAACUGCUUUUAUACGGGAAGAAUAAGGGAUACGUGUAUCCUGGUGACGGUACCGUAAGAAUAAGGACCGGCUAACUCCGUGCCAGCAGCCGCGGUAAUACGGAGGGUCCGAGCGUUAUCCGGAAUUAUUGGGUUUAAAGGGUCCGCAGGCGGGCAAUUAAGUCAGAGGUGAAAUGGUGCGGCUCAACCGUAGCACUGCCUUUGAUACUGGUUGUCUUGAGUCAUGGUGGAGUGGCCGGAAUAUGUAGUGUAGCGGUGAAAUGCAUAGAUAUUACAUAGAACACCGAUCGCGAAGGCAGGUCACUAACCAUGUACUGACGCUGAUGGACGAAAGCGUGGGGAGCGAACGGGAUUAGAUACCCCGGUAGUCCACGCCGUAAACGAUGGAUACUAGCUGUCCGCUGCCUUGAGCAGUGGGCGGCCAAGCGAAAGUGAUAAGUAUCCCACCUGGGGAGUACGUUCGCAAGAAUGAAACUCAAAGGAAUUGACGGGGGCCCGCACAAGCGGUGGAGCAUGUGGUUUAAUUCGAUGAUACGCGAGGAACCUUACCAGGGCUUAAAUGCAGAAUGACAGGUUUAGAGAUAGACUUUUCUUCGGACAUUUUGCAAGGUGCUGCAUGGUUGUC
This 1007-nucleotide ribosomal RNA is filed under the name Eudoraea sp. Its description in RNAcentral is "bacterial SSU rRNA". It matches the Rfam family "Bacterial small subunit ribosomal RNA", at positions 52 to 1053 of the family's 1533-position model. Lineage: Bacteria; Pseudomonadati; Bacteroidota; Flavobacteriia; Flavobacteriales; Flavobacteriaceae. The record is from RNAcentral.